UGCCUUUGCGAGAGCGGAGUUGGGUUCUCCUCAGCACAGACGCGGAGAGCAUCGCGAGGGCGGAGCUGCGUUCUCAUCUGCACAGAUUUCAGUGGUACUGCGAAGGCGGAGCAGAGUUCUCCUCAGAUGAUGAUUAUUCCCCACCUUCUAAGAGACAAAGACCAACGAGCCGCCACAGCCACCAGUCCCAGAACCCGCCAAUGCUGGGGAACGGAAAAUGAGGGAGUUCAACUCUGGCCCUCACAAUCCAGUGGAGGAGACGCAACUCAUCUGCCUCUGUCCCUCUGGGCACGCCUCGUGCCAGGUGCAUCUGUGGACAGGGGCCAUGCUCCUGGGCUUCCAAAGUUGGAGAAAGCUGCCAGGCUCAGGUCUGAAGGCCAGAAUUCUACAGUAAGUCCUACUGAGUCAAGGUGGGAGCAGGGUCGGUAGCUUCCGAGGCUCUGCGGGAGAAUCUGUUUCCUGGCCGUAGAGGUGGCCUGCACUCCUCAGCCUGUGCUGCCCGUCUCGAAUGACUGGAGUUUCCUGCUUCUGUCACUACACCUCCCACCCUCUCCAUCACCUGCUCUGCUCUUACAAGGAUCCGAAGAAAUGGAAUCAUCGUAUCGCUGAUCUACGUAAACAAACUGAAGAAUUGUCUGAAAGAAAAUAUGACAUGAACUUAUGAAUUCAAUAGGUGAAGAUUUACAACUUGAUAAAUCAACUUUGUCAGCUCGAGCUGUAAAAGCCAAAGGUCCGGUGAUGAUCCCAUACCCUUUUUUCCAGUCUCAUGUUGAAGAUUUUUAUGUAGAAGGCCUUCCCAAAGGAAUUUUUUUUUUUUUUUUUUUUUUGAGAUGGAGUUUUCACUCUUAUCGCCCAGGCUGGGGUGCAAUGGCACAACCUUGCUGGUCACUGCAACCUCUGCCUCCUGGGUUCAAGAAAUUCUCCUGCCUUAGCCUCCCAAGUCACUGGGAUUACAGGUGCCCACCACCACACCAGGCUAAUUUUUGUAUUUUUAGUGGAGAUGCGGUUUCACCAUGUUGGCCGGGCCAGUCUCGAACUCCUGACGUCAAGUGAUCUUCCCGCCUCGACUCCUGAUAUCAAGUGAUCUUCCCGCCUCGGCCUCCCAGAGUGCUGAGAUUACAGACGUGAACCCAUGCCUGGCCAGGAAUUUUGUUUUUUAGGAAGGCUUUCUACUAAUGGAAUUCCUGGCCUUGAGAGGAUGUUACUUUAGAAGGAAAGGAUUUUUUUGUUAUUAAAAGAGCCACCUAAGCUGAAGAUUCCCUUGAGAACAAGUACUGUCCCUAGUUUCCCAGUGCUGGAAUAUAGAAAAUGGAUGGACAACUGGACCUACCAUGAAAGACUUCUGAAUCCAGGAAGAGAAACUGACUGGGCAACAUGUUAUUCAGAGAUGGGACCUCAGUAUGUUGCCAUGGCUGACCUUGAACUCCUGCACUCAAGGGAUUUUCCUACCCUGGCCUCCCAAAGUAUUGGUAUUACAGGCAUGAGCCAUUGUGCCCACCGUCUCUGGUUCUUAACCUUCUGCCUCCCUCUUCCAGUUUUAAAGAAUGCUUGUAAUUACAUGGGCUCUCCUAGAUACUCCAGGAUAAUCUUGUUUUAAGGUCAGCUGAUGAGCAACAUUAAUUUUAUCUGCACUCUUAAUUCCCCCUUCCUAUGUAAUUGUGCUGUGUAACAUAGGACAUGAGCAAUUGGUGGCGGUGGGGGUUAUUACUUUGGCCACCACAGUAACUAUUUUAUGCCAGGUACUCAGCUAAGCACUGGUGAAUUAAGCAUGAAUAACACACACUCCUUAAUCUCCAUCCAUUCAUGGGAGGAGCACUUCACCUGCCAUGCUCCUGAGAAUCUCGGGAGUCAUAGAAGUCUUCUAUGAGGAGGUGAUGCCAAAGCGGACAAGUGACAGAGGAGUCAAAGCUAGCUAGGAAGAGAGUAGAGGUUUAAGGGGAAGCAUAUUAUAAGCAGAGGAUAUUACCCACUUCAGAGACUCCCAGAGGAGAAAGAGUGUGCGUUCAAGGGGCAGAUGAGGCUCAGUUGGACUCCAUAGCAGAUGUAAUGGAGAGGGGCAAGCAGUGAGGCUGCCUUGCAAGGCAGGGCAGAGCAGGGGCUGUUAAGGAGUUUGGACUUAAUCCCUGAGGCAAGGAGAAGUGAUGUAAAUGGGGGAGUAACAUGAUGAGAUUCAUAGAUUAGAGACAUGGCUCAGGCUGCUGUAGAGAAGGCACCAGGAAGAGCAGAUGGCUCAAUGUGUGUGCAGAAGACCUCUCCCUGAGUUUAGGGAGAGGUUUUUAAAACAGAAGAAGUUUGAGUAAUUUAAAUGAUGAUGGGAAGGAGCUAAAAGUGGGGGAUAGGUUAAAGAUACAGGAAAGUGGGAGGAAGAACUGACAAGUGAGGUUCCAGAGAGGGCAGGAGAAGAGGAGAUUCCCAUAGGGGGAUUAACACUUUCUUUUCUUUUUUCUUUCU
RNAcentral lists this long non-coding RNA (2451 nucleotides) under Homo sapiens (human). Its description in RNAcentral is "HSALNT0395492". Lineage: Eukaryota; Metazoa; Chordata; Mammalia; Primates; Hominidae. The record is from RNAcentral.